UGCCUUUGGAGAAACAUGGCGGAGCAACAUGGCGGAAUCCCUGGAAGAAGACCCGCUCCCCAUGUGGAUAUAAAGGGCUCAUUCUAAGGCUCCACAGCAGACCUAACGGCAGCAUGUCGGUCCUCUCUUCCAUCUGAGCGCAGCUGCCAGCAGCACCUCCGCCUGAGGACAAUGGUCAGCCACCCAGUGAAGCAUCCGUAAGCGGGAGUGACAGCCAAUGAAGAGCAGAGAGGCACAGACAUCAGAUGGUAAAGCAUGUCACUGUAGACAGACAAUGACAGCAAUGCCAUCAGCUGCCAAACCCACAGUCAUAAUUAUAUACCUACUGGUGAGUCAGACCGCCCUCUUGUCACUCAGAGCCACAAUAAACCGUGACAGCAACUUGAGUGAAACACCUGGCUGAAUGUCUCGGAGGUGACGAAAGGCUAAUGUGGUGGUGAAGUGUGGCGCCAUGCCACAAGCACACUCAUGGCCCUGUAAUCUGUGGCAGCAGGAGGAAAUGGCUGACAGAAUGACUUCCGGAAAUGUCAGAUUUGUAGUCACACAAUCAUAAAACUUCCCAUGACCAAUGUGUAAGACAGCAGUUAAAGCCUUGACAGUAUUAAAGCAUUCAAAGAUGGUUGUUUUGAAUGUUAAUGUUUCUAAAACCCCGGCAAAUGUUUAUUUUAUACUCAGUAUUCAAUUGUUCAAGUGCAUAUAAUAAGCCUGGGAUAACAUACAGUAGCUGUAUUAAUUGGUGGGAAAUAUGUAGAAUAUAAUAAAAAUAAGAAUUAUGUUAUAAUUAUAUUAUAAGAAUGAAUGACUUGAAAAGUAAAACUGUAUUGUGUUUUGGAGUGGCUAAGUGCAUAAUAUAGCAAACUUCCAUCUAUGAUUUUUGAUGGUGCGCUGGUUUCCUCAUAUGUUUAAAACACUAUGAAAACACUUUCUUUUCAACGAACAUUUUCCAACAUACCACGACACCAGAGGAGCUGCUCCCAGUAGUUGCAAAGGAAUGUGUAGCAUGCAAAGCAUCAUGUAGUGUAGUAUACAUGACGCAAGUUUCAGAGUUAGUCAUCAUCAGAGUUAACCAUGUAUUAUUCUUUCUCUCCCUGUUCUUUCCCCAGUUUCUCUGUUUUUGUUAUAAACUUGUGUUUUAAUUUUUAGACACAGUUUGUUAUCAACACUGCUUUAUUUUGAUGUACAACCACCUGCAAUGUUGCUAAUAAUCCUUGAUUGCUCAGCAAAAAAGCAGCACACAACUAUUGCAAAUACAUUAGGUCAACUGACUCCUGGCCUCAUGCUUGUAAAUAUCUUGGCAACACAGAUAUCAAGGUCUUCUGAAUUAAAAAAACAGGUAUGUCUUCUAGGUAUGUUAGUUUUAGGUUUUAGCAAGCAGCAACUAUCACGGCUUGAGGUUGAGGCCAAUGUGUAAGUACGUGAAAGUGAAAUGCCACCAAUGGCCACUAGAUGCUGGCUCCAAAAAGUCCCUGUCUGCAACUGAUUUCCAUUCAAAAAGCAUCAACUUCUCUCUAGACUAAGUCAAUCAUUUUUUUCAACAAGUCUCAAUAUCUAAAUUCUGGCCAUCUAAUACGUGUGCUGGUGGUCAUUUUUGUUGCUCCAUUAAUAAGAUUUGAAGACUUCUAGUAGCUUUGAUGUCUGUCAUGCGGGCGUUGAUUGAUGA
Long non-coding RNA from Thunnus maccoyii (southern bluefin tuna), 1660 nucleotides. RefSeq lists it as uncharacterized. Lineage: Eukaryota; Metazoa; Chordata; Actinopteri; Scombriformes; Scombridae. The transcript is spliced from 3 exons. The record is from RefSeq and is a predicted model, not a curated record.